UUGAAUAAUUUUUUAAGCCACCUAGUGGAUGGCUUGGCUCUGGUAGCGACGAAGGGCGUGGCAAGCUGCGAUAAGCCCAAGGUAGGCGCAUGUCAGCCUUUGAACUUGGGAUUCCCGAAAUGUACACUAUGAAUAGUGGUGUGAGCGCACGCGUGGAAUUGAAAUAUCUUAGUACACGCAGGAAAAGAAAGAGUAUCGAUUCCGUUAGUAAAACGAUUGAAACCGGAAGAGGGCAGACCGAAUCGCUGAUUGCGAAAUUAGCGAGAUGUGGGCUAUGUAUGAACUCAUUGUACCUGUCAAACGUUCUGGAAAGAACGGCCAUAGAGAGUGACAGCCUCGUAGAUUAAGUACAGUGAGUCUUGUAGCGAUUGAGUAAUUCGGCUUUGUUAUGUCGAAUGAAUACGGGGUAUUAAACCCCAACCCUAAAUAUUGACCAGAGACCGAUAGCGAACAAGUAGCGCGAGCGAAAGCUGAAAAGAACCCAUAUGUAUGGGAUUGAAAUAGAUCUGAAACUAGGUGGUUACGAGAAGGUAAGGUGUGAAAGGAAUGAAAGCCCCAGAAGGAAUGUCAGAAAUGGCAGGACGACGGGGCAGGACUAAUAUCUUAUCAUUCUUCUCGAAGCAAGAGCCAGGGAGUGUGUUGUAGUGGCAAGCUUAAAUGCGAAGUGAAAGCGAUGGCGCGCAAGCAAUGAGGCGCCGGGCAUGAAAUAUGCCUCCAGUCACUAUGAUCCGACUCGAAGCCAAUGUGAUCUACUCGCGGCCAGGACGAAGCCAGCUUUACAGUUGGUGGAGGUCCGCAACCUGUCAUGGCAUGUCCUGUUGGGUGAGCUGCGGGUAGGGGCGAUAGACCACUCGAACUUGGCAAUAGCGAGUCCCCUCCGAAGUAUCUUUAGGAUAGCCUCGGGCGAGCUUGAACGUGAGGUAGAGCGACCGAUUAGAAGGUAUUGUUGCGAAAGCGACAGCCUUCCCGUCAAACUCCGAAUGCACGUUCUGCGUAGACCCCGAGAGUCGGCGACGUUGGGUAAGCUAGCGUCGCGAUGCUGUAUAGACAGUAUCCGAGGUUAAGGUCCCUAAAUCCUAGUUAAGUGUAUCAAAGGGCGGUUUUGUCUUAGACAGUCGGGAGGUAGGCUCAGAAGCAGCCACCCUUUAAAAAACGCGUCAUAGCGUACCGAUUGAGACAAUUCUCCCCGAAGAUGGACGGGGCUAAACUAGGUACCGAAACCCCGGCACUAUUAAAUAGUGGGUAGGAGGGCGUGCUGCACGGCUAGAAGUGUAUCCUUGCGGAUGCAUGGACUGUGCAGUAGCGAAAAUCCU
RNAcentral lists this ribosomal RNA (1313 nucleotides) under Microcaldota archaeon. RNAcentral describes it as "partial 23S ribosomal RNA". It matches the Rfam family "Archaeal large subunit ribosomal RNA", at positions 1 to 1385 of the family's 2987-position model. The record is from RNAcentral. Lineage: Archaea; Nanobdellati; Microcaldota.